Molecule: ribosomal RNA, 280 nt
Filed under: Funneliformis mosseae
Lineage: Eukaryota; Fungi; Glomeromycota; Glomeromycetes; Glomerales; Glomeraceae
Description: partial large subunit ribosomal RNA
Rfam family: Eukaryotic large subunit ribosomal RNA
Source: RNAcentral
AAGAUGAAAAGAACUUUGAAAAGAGAGUUAAACAGUACGUGAAAUUGUUGAAAGGGAAACGAUUGAAGUCAGUCAUACCAACGGGAAAUCAACCUUUUGAGCUCGGUCUCGUGGGUUUUGAAGAGUUUCAAAGCCUUCGGAUUCGCGGGAUUGGGAUCUCUUGGCGUACUUUUUCGUACGGUUAGUCAACAUCGGUUUUGAAUGUCAUAAAAUGACUGGAGGAAUGUAGCUUCGAUGACGUAUUGCAGUGUUUAGCCUUAGGAGAAAUUUCCCUCCAACA